Molecule: ribosomal RNA, 468 nt
Filed under: uncultured bacterium
Lineage: Bacteria
Description: partial 16S ribosomal RNA
Rfam family: Bacterial small subunit ribosomal RNA
Source: RNAcentral
GAUGAACGCUGGCGGCGUGCCUAACACAUGCAAGUCGAGCGAUUCUCUUCGGAGAAGAGCGGCGGACGGGUGAGUAACGCGUGGGUAACCUGCCCUAUACACACGGAUAACGUACCGAAAGGUACGCUAAUACGAGAUAAUAUGCUUUAGUCGCAUGGCUGAAGUAUCAAAGCUCCGGCGGUAUAGGAUGGACCCGCGUCUGAUUAGCUAGUUGGUAAGGUAAUGGCUUACCAAGGCGACGAUCAGUAGCCGACCUGAGAGGGUGAUCGGCCACAUUGGAACUGAGAAACGGUCCAAACUCCUACGGGAGGCAGCAGUGGGGAAUAUUGCACAAUGGGCGAAAGCCUGAUGCAGCAACGCCGCGUGAGCGAUGAAGGCCUUCGGGUCGUAAAACUCUGUCCUCAAGGAAGAUAAUGACGGUACUUGAGGAGGAAGCCCCGGCUAACUACGUGCCAGCAGCCGCCGUAA